ACGAACGCUGGCGGCGUGCUUAACCCCUGCAAGUCGAACGGAAAGGCCCUGCUUUUGUGGGGUGCUCGAGUGGCGAACGGGUGAGUAACACGUGAGUAACCUGCCCUUGACUUUGGGAUAACUUCAGGAAACUGGGGCUAAUACCGGAUAGGAGCUCCUGCUGCAUGGUGGGGGUUGGAAAGUUUCGGCGGUUGGGGAUGGACUCGCGGCUUAUCAGCUUGUUGGUGGGGUAGUGGCUUACCAAGGCUUUGACGGGUAGCCGGCCUGAGAGGGUGACCGGCCACAUUGGGACUGAGAUACGGCCCAGACUCCUACGGGAGGCAGCAGUGGGGAAUAUGGCACAAUGGGCGGAAGCCUGAUGCAGCAACGCCGCGUGCGGGAUGACGGCCUUCGGGUUGUAAACCGCUUUCGCCUGUGACGAAGCGUGAGUGACGGUAAUGGGUAAAGAAGCACCGGCGAACUACGU
RNAcentral lists this ribosomal RNA (466 nucleotides) under uncultured bacterium. Its description in RNAcentral is "partial 16S ribosomal RNA". It matches the Rfam family "Bacterial small subunit ribosomal RNA", at positions 29 to 506 of the family's 1533-position model. The record is from RNAcentral.